CUACGGGGGGCAGCAGUGAGGAAUAUUGCACAAUGGAGGAAACUCUGAUGCAGCAACGCCGCGUGGAGGAUGACGCAUCUCGGUGUGUAAACUCCUUUUAUAUGUCAAGAAAAUGACGGUAGCAUAUGAAUAAGCACCGGCUAACUCCGUGCCAGCAGCCGCGGUAAUACGGAGGGUGCAAGCGUUACUCGGAAUCACUGGGCGUAAAGGACGCGUAGGCGGGAUAUCAAGUCAGGUGUGAAAUCCUACAGCUUAACUGUAGAACUGCACUUGAAACUGGUAACCUAGAGUAUGGGAGGGGGAGAUGGAAUUAGUGGUGUAGGGGUAAAAUCCGUAGAUAUCACUAGGAAUACCUAAAGCGAAGGCGAUCUCCUGGAACAUAACUGACGCUAAGGCGUGAAAGCGUGGGGAGCAAACAGGAUUAGAUACCCGUGUAGUC
This 439-nucleotide ribosomal RNA is filed under the name uncultured bacterium. RNAcentral describes it as "partial 16S ribosomal RNA". It matches the Rfam family "Bacterial small subunit ribosomal RNA", at positions 339 to 795 of the family's 1533-position model. The record is from RNAcentral.